CCGGCUUGGGAUCGAAUGCUUUUCGAAAUCGUGACCGUUUUACAUUUCCAAAAGCCAGCUUGAAUAGUGCUUCGGCGCUGUCUGGAAUGUCGUGUGCACAAGCGAAAUGCCAUAGAUAUGAGGCUAUCAGAUUGGGACAGGAGUGGCCAUGUCUGUUAGCGGAGGUCUGAGGAGGUUUGAGCCAAUACAAGGUUUCAGACCUUUAGCUAUGAAGUGCCUGUUUCAGCUUGGUAGACCAUUUAAAGGGAAGUGCGACAAUUUAAAUGAAAAACAAACAGGGAUUCUGCAUUUUACAUAUUAACCGUAAGAGUUGAAUAAUCAAAUAGUGAAGUCUGUGUUUGGCAUCAAUUAGUAAAACUAGAGGAAGUAGCUCUAAGGGUAGUAUGGCCCUUUUCAUUAUUUGGUAGUUGUGGAUCCAGAAUGGAUGACAUUGUCACAUUAUCACAUUGUUGAGCUGUAGGCAAAGAGACGUGUUAAUUACUGAUUGAUUACUAGCUAUUUGUAACGUAUUAAUUACUGAUUGAGUACUUGCACUGCAAUUCUGAGGCCUCAGGUGAACAGUUGCUAACCUCCACGCCUCCUAGCCUCUCCAGCCAGAGGGGCUGCAUCCAAGAAGCGGUCUGUGUGAGGGCCAAGUCCUCUAGAAUCAACAUGGCUGAUAUGUCUUGUCAGAUACGCUUCUGCACAUGAAUAAAACCAAAGUCCAAAUGUAUUUUAUGAUGAUGUGGGUUUUUUUUUUUUUCUUUCAGUGGCUUUGGGGAGGAUUUGGAUGGACUUCUACUAUUAUGGCCCUUAGUUCCUUUCUCUGUAAAGCUGACAAGUCGGCGUCGGCGUCGGCGUAUUGAAUUGUUGGCGGAGGCGCAGCUCCUCCACGCCGGAGCAUCACAUGCCGGUGGCGAGAGCGCCGUCAUAUCUUAAUACAUCCUCGGGCCUCGGCAAGGCAACACAGGAUGUUUUGGACCCCACUGGAAGGCUUAAAUUAGACACCAGGCAUUCUCAGCAUCUGUCAUGACACCCCCGGAACGCACCUCGUGGGCAUAUAACGGCCUGGACAAAUGUGUCUGUCUGCACUUACCUCCGGGUUCCCACAGAGCAACUCAACCCCCCAGCAGGCUCCCUCGGGCGGGCGGCCAUUUUAGACCCAGUGAACUUUCUCUCAGCGGACCGGCAUCUCUUACUAGGGGCACUUGUUUUCCGCCAGCAGAGUGGGAACGGGGGUUGUGUGUUAUGUAGACACGGACGUGGGGGAGAGUCUGGAUUGUGUACACAAUGUGUAUAAGUUAGAAGCCUUUCAUAUAGGCUUGGCACCGCAUGGGAAGCACGGAAGCACUGGCCGAGUGAAGCAUAAAUCUGCCAUAAUGCCCAGCAUAAAAUGGCGCAGCAGGCUCCUCUUUCAGAGUUACUACGACACGCGCUGACAAUGUUUUGUGUUUGGAUCAAAUACUGUUUUUUAUGGCUGAUACAACAGAUUACAUUUUCUUUGACAUGAGAUGUCCUUGUCCUGCCUUGUAACAUUACUUCCACCAUUAAAUGCUGCUUUAGAAAAGUGACUGUGGUUUGAAACGUGUUUUAAUUCUGACUUACAAUGACAAAAUGUGUGAAAGACUUUUCAUUUCGGAAAAGAUUUGUACCUUUUUAUUACACGCAGUGUAUAACAAAAGAAGAAAGAAGUCAAUUCCAAGCCUGUUUUUUUUUCUUCACAAUAAUGAAUGUACUUGUGAACUGAGCUUACGGGAUUUCAUAAGGG
Molecule: long non-coding RNA, 1747 nt
Organism: Clupea harengus (Atlantic herring)
Lineage: Eukaryota; Metazoa; Chordata; Actinopteri; Clupeiformes; Clupeidae
Source: Ensembl